GAUGAACGCUAGCGGCAGGCUUAAUACAUGCAAGUCGAGGGGCAUCAAGGUACACGAAAGUGUAUUGUUGGCGACCGGCGGACGGGUGAGUAAUAGGUAGGUAACCUACCUCAUACUGAGGCAUAGCUGGGAGAAAUUCCAGGUAAUUCCUCAUGAGGUUAUAUGACACAUGUGAUAUAAUCAAAGGUAUCGCAAGGUACUGGUAUGAGAUGGGCUUACUGACCAUUAGCUAGUUGGUGAGAUAAGAGCUCACCAAGGCGAAGAUGGUUAGGGGUUUUGAGAGAGAGAUCCCCCACAUUGGAACUGAGAUACGGUCCAGACUCCUACGGGAGGCAGCAGUAGGGAAUAUUGGGCAAUGGGCGGAAGCCUGACCCAGCCAUGCCGCGUGAAGGAAGACGGCCUUAUGGGUUGUAAACUUCUUUACUAUGCGACUAACUAGAUUUACAGAUAAUUCUAUAGAAUGUAGCAUAGCAAAAAGCACCGGA
RNAcentral lists this ribosomal RNA (485 nucleotides) under uncultured bacterium. RNAcentral describes it as "bacterial SSU rRNA". It matches the Rfam family "Bacterial small subunit ribosomal RNA", at positions 28 to 497 of the family's 1533-position model. The record is from RNAcentral.